Molecule: ribosomal RNA, 422 nt
Filed under: uncultured bacterium
Lineage: Bacteria
Description: bacterial SSU rRNA
Rfam family: Bacterial small subunit ribosomal RNA
Source: RNAcentral
UAAGGAAUAUUGAACAAUGGUCGCAAGACUGAUCCAGCCAUGCCGCGUGCAGGAAGACGGCCCUAUGGGUUGUAAACUGCUUUUGUACCAGAGAAAACCUAUCUACGUGUAGAUAGCUGAUAGUAUGGUAAGAAUAAGCAUCGGCUAACUUCGUGCCAGCAGCCGCGGUAAGACGAAGGAUGCAAGCGUUAUCCGGCUUCAUUGGGUUUAAAGGGUGCGUAGGCGGGCUUGUAAGUCAGUGGUGAAAUCUCUCAGCUUAACUGAGAAACUGCCAUUGAUACUGCAGGCCUAGAGUAUAGAUGACGUUGGCGGAAUAUGACAUGUAGUGGUGAAAUACUUAGAUAUGUCAUAGAACACCGAUUGCGAAGGCAGCUAACGAAACUAUAACUGACGCUGAGGCACGAAAGUGCGGGGAUCAAACA